UUCUUGAUAAUAUGUCCAGCU
RNAcentral lists this non-coding RNA (21 nucleotides) under Caenorhabditis elegans. The record is from RNAcentral. Lineage: Eukaryota; Metazoa; Nematoda; Chromadorea; Rhabditida; Rhabditidae.